UGCGUAGGUGGCAAGCGUUGUCCGGAUUUACUGGGCGUAAAGAGCGCGCAGGCGGUCGCUCAAGUCGCGUGUGAAAGCCCCCGGCUCAACUGGGGAGGGUCACGCGAUACUGAUCGACUGGAAGGCAGGAGAGGGUAGUGGAAUUCCCGGUGUAGUGGUGAAAUGCGUAGAUAUCGGGAGGAACACCAGUGGCGAAGGCGACUACCUGGCCUGUUCUUGACGCUGAGGCGCGAAAGCUAGGGGAGCAAACGGG
This 253-nucleotide ribosomal RNA is filed under the name uncultured bacterium. RNAcentral's name for it is "partial 16S ribosomal RNA". It matches the Rfam family "Bacterial small subunit ribosomal RNA", at positions 524 to 776 of the family's 1533-position model. The record is from RNAcentral.